GCCAGUGUGGCGUAGUGGUUUGAGUGCUGGACUGUGACUCUGGAGGCCAGGGUUUGAUUCCAGCUCCACCA
Non-coding RNA from Phrynosoma platyrhinos (Desert horned lizard), 71 nucleotides. NCBI's taxonomy places the organism in Eukaryota, Metazoa, Chordata, Lepidosauria, Squamata, Phrynosomatidae. The record is from the annotation of a GenBank genome assembly.